AAAAAAAAAAAAAAGGAAAAAAGAUCUAAACGACAAGCUAUCCCAGAAUAUGGUGUCGUACGUCAGUGCGUUGCUGUACGGAGUGGGCGGCAUAGUGAUGGCAGGGAUGGCGCUGCUCGUGGCUUUCCAAGAGAGGUUAGUCUACGUCCCUGUCUUGCCCGGUCUCACCAAAUCCUAUUCUAUAACUCCUGCCCGCCUCCGACUCCUUUACGAAGACGUUUGGCUCAGAUCCUCCGACGGCGUUCGCCUUCACUGUUGGUUCAUUAAGUUCUUUCCUGAAUGCCGAGGUCCAACCAUCUUGUUUUUCCAGGAGAAUGCAGGAAGUAUCCUUUAUCAUCAUUUUUACUAUAUGGGGUGAUAUGUUAAGUUUAUCAUGUAGUCCUACAAUUGCCAAUUGGUUUUUUCUAUCAUAUGUAUGGUUGUUUCAAACUUUCUCCUAGCAGCCUUAAUUAGCAUUCUGUAGAUAUUGCUCACCGUCUUGAGAUGGUUCGCAUCAUGUUACAGAGGUUGCACUGCAAUGUGUUUAUGCUUUCAUACCGAGGGUAUGCAUUUACUAGUUUUGCAUCAAAAUUUUCUCAUUUAUGUUAUGUAUUCUGGAUGUCAAUCCAUGCGUGUGUAAUUCUUAUCUAGCUGAGUGAAGACAAAUGCUCCAUUCCUUUUGUGUGUGAACAGUUAUGGAGCAAGUGAUGGAUAUCCUUCUCAACCUGGAAUCACAAAGGACUCUCAGGCUGCAUUGGAUCAUCUUUCUCAGAGGACCGACAUUGACACUUCUAGAAUAGUUGUGUUUGGGAGGUCACUUGGGGGUGCAGUUGGGGCUCUGCUAACGAAAAACAACCCUGACAAGGUUGCUGGACUGAUUCUGGAAAAUACUUUUACAUCUAUUCUGGACAUGGCUGGAGUGCUACUGCCUUUCUUAAAGUGGUUUAUUGGAAAUACUCAUUCAAAAGGUCCUAAAAUUCUUAAUUUUCUAGUACGUUCUCCAUGGAGCACCAUUGAUGUCAUAAGCGAGGUUAAGCAGCCGAUCCUUUUUCUCUCUGGAUUGCAAGAUGAAAUGGUACCCCCAUCCCAUAUGCAAAUGCUGUAUGCUAAGGCAGCUGCUCGUAACAAGGAAUGCAUCUUUGUGGAAUUUCCCUCUGGCAUGCACAUGGACACCUGGCUGGCUGGCGGUGAUCAUUAUUGGAGAACUAUUCAGCAGUUUCUUGAAAAGCAUGUUCCAGAAAAGAAGGAAAACGAGUCAUAUGACACUGACCAAGGUAUUCCUUUUGCUUCUGAAAAUUUAAUGAAAGCUUGUCUUGGAACGGAAAAAAGAUGGAAUAUAAUGCACCUAACAUGAUAAUAAUGUCAAGAAGUAAAAAUAGGAAGAUGAAUCACAUUUUCUAUGGUGUCUGUGGGUCCCUGAUUUGGGUAGUUUCUUAAAGUCUUCUCUUCACCAAGUUAAUUUUCUGUUGGCACUUUUGCGUGACCUGUGUAUGGCCAAGGAGACAAACCCAUUAAGAUCAGACUCAAAGCAUGUUGAGAAUUGUUGUUGCUAAUAACAACUUUUAAAAAAAAUGUUAGAAGCAAUAGAUUUUUACAAUUUGGUUUUCAUAUUCCAAAAGCAGAUUUUGAAAAAAAGUCAUUUUCGAAGUUUUUGCAAAUAGCUAUUGAAUUGUAUUGAUAAAUUUUUGCAAAGAGCUUGUCUUCUUCAACUCAAAUUCUUGUCAUGCACAUUUGGUAGUUAUGUGCAAUAGUAAUGCCAAACAUGCUCUCCAUGCCAAAACUUGUAAAGGACUGAUGGCUGAUGGCAUGAAUUUUGUUUGGCUACUUACGCAUGUCUGUAACAGAAACAACCAAGAGACAAGCCAUUUUGGUGAUUUGGAAGGCUAAUUCUUUGCUGUGGGAUUCACAAUUCAGAAACCAUAAACUGCUGUGUCACAUGGUGUGAAAACAGCCACGAUCUGGAAAAGGUUAUUCCCUAAAGCAGAUGUCUUCUGCCAAAAGGCAGAAAAUCAACU
This 1994-nucleotide unclassified non-coding RNA is filed under the name Hevea brasiliensis (rubber tree). Lineage: Eukaryota; Viridiplantae; Streptophyta; Magnoliopsida; Malpighiales; Euphorbiaceae. The record is from RNAcentral.